Molecule: long non-coding RNA, 1224 nt
Filed under: Lytechinus variegatus (green sea urchin)
Lineage: Eukaryota; Metazoa; Echinodermata; Echinoidea; Temnopleuroida; Toxopneustidae
Description: uncharacterized LOC121413200, transcript variant X2
Source: RNAcentral
CUGAAAGGAAUACGGUCAGCUCAAAUUUUGGAUGCAUAUUUUUUUCCUUUGUAGUUGGUGUGUUGAAAAGUACGAUAUCCUGGGAAUUGAGAGGAUUCUUCAGUUAGCUUAGAGAUCUGAGACAGUUUACAUCAGUUGAGUUUAAAUCGAAGACUUCUUCAAAGCCAAGUUUCAGUUUUUGUCAAUUGCAGCCUCAUUUGUGUGUUCUGUCAAUGCUCAAGACUUUUGAAAGAACAGUGUAUGUUUUCUUUCUCUAUGGUUUUGUUGGGUGCAUCUAGCACAAUUUGUGCAAUUUGUGAUAAAACACAAGUGAAACUAACAAUUCUUCUGUCCUUGUAGUACUGUUUUGUGACUUUCUUGUGUUUGUAAUUUUCUAUUCUUUGUGUUUUCUAGUACAUGGCAGUCUAGUGUUAAGGACACUCAGGAAUCAUUCUGUGUAGAAGUUUAUGUGGAAAUCACUAACCUUGCCUGGUUCUGGCAUGAAAGAAAUACUGAUAGGGCUGUAAAUAAUGAAAGAAGUACUGGCAAGGCUGUCAAUACUGAAGUGAAAUGAAAUACUGAAUGAAAUAGUGUACUGUCAAGACUGCAUUGAAUACCGGUAAAAUAAGGAAGCAACUUUAUCUCUAGUGAUAUAUAAAUUACAUGCUUUAAGUGACAUAAAUUCAAAGACCAAAAAGAAAAAAGUGAGAAAGAAAGAAGUAGAGUAGUUGGAUAGAAGAUAUUUGAUUAUAGAGUCUUUUAACUUAAAAUAAAAAGAAUAGAGUUUGAAAAAUUACAAAAGAGUAAGUAAAAUUGAAGUGAAGAGGAUGAGUAACCUAGAGUAGUUUAAAAGAGCAUAUUUGAUUACAGAGAGGUUUUUUUAAAUAGGUGUAACCUUUUAAUUACAAACAGUGAGGAAGAUUGAUGUAAAAGAGUAAGGUUUCGAAGUUUCAGAGCUUCAAAAAAGGGGGGGGGGGUUGGCUCUUAACUCUAUAUAGCCCUUGGGGGCCUAAAGGCCCCCCCCCCUCAACAUUUUUCGUGAUAAUUUCUAAAUGCAAAAAAAUAAUAUGCUGAAAUUUCAUGACUUUUUUCUUUCACAUCUCACGCACAUUUUAAGAUCCUGUUUGCGAAAAUCAGGGGUACACUUGUGAAGAUAUAGCACAUAUUCAUGACCAAUGUCACCGAAAAUGGCAAUUUCCAUCGACUUUUGUGUGUACAAUGUAUGGGUUUUACAAGAAGUGUUGU